RNAcentral lists this ribosomal RNA (446 nucleotides) under uncultured bacterium. Its description in RNAcentral is "partial 16S ribosomal RNA". It matches the Rfam family "Bacterial small subunit ribosomal RNA", at positions 338 to 795 of the family's 1533-position model. The record is from RNAcentral.
CCUACGGGUGGCAGCAGUCGAGAAUCAUUCACAAUGGGGGAAACCCUGAUGGUGCGACGCCGCGUGGGGGAAUGAAGGUCUUCGGAUUGUAAACCCCUGUCAUGUGGGAGCAAAUUAAAAAGAUAGUACCACAAGAGGAAGAGACGGCUAACUCUGUGCCAGCAGCCGCGGUAAUACAGAGGUCUCAAGCGUUGUUCGGAAUCACUGGGCGUAAAGCGUGCGUAGGCUGUUUCGUAAGUCGUGUGUGAAAGGGGCGGGCUCAACCCGCGGACGGCACAUGAUACUGCGAGACUAGAGUAAUGGAGGGGGAACCGGAAUUCGCGGUGUAGCAGUGAAAUGCGUAGAUAUCGAGCGGAACACUCGUGGCGAAGGCGGGUUCCUGGACAUUAACUGACGCUGAGGCACGAAGGCCAGGGGAGCGAAAGGGAUUAGAUACCCGGGUAGUC